GGUAGGUGGGCAAGCGUUGUCCGGAAUUAUUGGGCGUAAAGCGCGCGCAGGGCGGUCCUUUAAGUCUGAUGUGAAAGCCCACGGCUCAACCGUGGAGGGUCAUUGGAAACUGGGGGACUUGAGUACAGAAGAGGAAAGCGGAAUUCCAAGUGUAGCGGUGAAAUGCGUAGAGAUUUGGAGGAACACCAGUGGCGAAGGCGGCUUUCUGGUCUGUAACUGACGCUGAGGCGCGAAAGCGUGGGGAGCAAACAGGAUUAGAUACCCUGGUAGUCCACGCCGUAAACGAUGAGUGCUAAGUGUUAGGGGGGUUUCCGCCCCCUUAGUGCUGCAGCUAACGCAUUAAGCACUCCGCCUGGGGAGUACGGCCGCAAGGCUG
This 376-nucleotide ribosomal RNA is filed under the name uncultured organism. RNAcentral's name for it is "partial 16S ribosomal RNA". It matches the Rfam family "Bacterial small subunit ribosomal RNA", at positions 525 to 896 of the family's 1533-position model. The record is from RNAcentral.